UGCAUUUCCUGAAUUUAACUCUGUCUUUGUAUUACUCAGCCCACAGGAUCAGGGGUGUGUUUUCUUCCCAGUGACGCGUCUGUGGUUCCUCCUCUUAGCUCCCACACAGACAUCCUUCAAGAAGGGGAAGAGAGCUUUCAGACCAAGCACAAGGAGGUUUCUGACAAUUCAGCAGGCUGUGGUAGAGUUCCUGGAAUGGAGCAGAAAACCCAAAAUAGAUAUCCGGGAAAAAAGAGGAAAUGGUGACAAAGAACUUCCUUUAAAAUGACAAGACCCUCCUUUUAUUGCCACAGUUGAGUCACGUGAAUUUUUGGUCCCUUCCAUGGAGAAGGGUGUUCCCAUGGAUUGAUUCAUGUAUUUUGUUUCCUUCUUGAAGAGAGAGAAGAAAAAAGAAAAAAAAAAAGAUGAUCUAAGUAAUUCCAGCCAUCAAAGUAGUAAGAACUCAUCGAUCUCAAGUUCACACAGAAAUCUCAGUGAGAUAAUGCAGAGCUUAGAGAUUCUAUUCAUGCGGAAAUUCAUUCACUCAACAAAUGUUGAUUCUCUGCUCUAGACCAAAUGCUGGGAUACAGAAACGAAUACAAUAUUGUUCGUGCCACUAAGGACCUCUUUCUCUGUGGGAGAAGAUACAAAGUAAAGGAGGAACACGAUGAAAAAUGAACCUAAAGGACCGCUCUGUUUUUCUCUGUGGCCCUUCGCAGGGAUACUGCCCAUGGAAAUCCCACAAAGAGAAGAGUUUCACAGGGGGAAAAAUGUUUCUAAUGAAGCUUGAAAAUUAUUGAGAGGGUUGAAUGUCUCCCCAGUCACCCCUGGGGACACAUCUAGAGGCUUGAUCACAAUAAAUCUUCCAUGGGAGGAAACUUCCUUUAGGCUGAUUCAUUUAUUAAAGAGGGUAAUUUACUAUGGGACACUUGACCCAGCAGGAAAUGGGGGAGUAGAUGGCGUAAGAACAGCUGGAACACCUGGAGAAACUUUAUCCUUGAACGGAACUGUGGAUUCAACGUCUUCAUUUCAUUUGCUACCUGGUAUUGUUUGUUAUCUUUCUUUGCAUGUGUUAGUUCCUCCUAACCCCCACCCCCGGCAACUGUGUGCCAAGCUUCCAGAUGGAAGGAAUGAUAUUUUGCCUCAUUUUCUCCCUUGUGAUGUCUGGCCAGCGCUAGAAACAUUGCAUGUGUUUGGAAGCCAUUGUUAAUUGAUUGAUUCCUGCCAUUCCCAGUAGUCCUAUAACUUAUUGCUCUGCAAGCUGUAGUUAAAAAAACCCAUAAGACCCAAUAAGGGAAAUCAGUUAACAGUUGCUGCUUCCGUUAACUCUUAAAGAGUCCAAACCCAGUAAUGCUGUCAUUUUGGACUGCAAAUAGAAUUUUUAGGCAAAAAUUUAACAACAGC
RNAcentral lists this long non-coding RNA (1383 nucleotides) under Capra hircus (goat). Its description in RNAcentral is "lncRNA (ENSCHIG00000008004.1)". The record is from RNAcentral. Lineage: Eukaryota; Metazoa; Chordata; Mammalia; Artiodactyla; Bovidae.